Danio rerio (zebrafish) is the source of this 71-nucleotide non-coding RNA. NCBI's taxonomy places the organism in Eukaryota, Metazoa, Chordata, Actinopteri, Cypriniformes, Danionidae. The record is from Rfam.
GGAUUGGAGGUUCAGUGGAAGAAUUCUCCCCUGCCAGGCGGGAAACCCAGGUCCGAUUCCUGGCCAAUGCA